This 482-nucleotide ribosomal RNA is filed under the name uncultured bacterium. RNAcentral describes it as "partial 16S ribosomal RNA". It matches the Rfam family "Bacterial small subunit ribosomal RNA", at positions 28 to 523 of the family's 1533-position model. The record is from RNAcentral.
AGUGAACGUUGGCGGCGUGGAUUAGGCAUGCGAGUCGAGCGAGAACCGUAGCAAUACGGGGACAGCGGCGAAAGGGACAGUAAUAUGUAGGUACCUACCCUCGGGUCCGGGAUAGCUGCGGGAAACUGCAGGUAAUACCGGAUGACAUCUCCGGAUCAAAGGUGUGAUUCCGCCUCGGGAGCGGACUGCGUCCUACUAGCUAGUUGGCGGGGUAAUGGCCCACCAAGGCGACGAUGGGUAGCGGGUGUGAGAGCAUGACCCGUCUCACUGGGACUGAGACACUGCCCAGACACCUACGGGUGGCUGCAGUCGAGAAUCUUCGGCAAUGAGCGCAAGCUUGACCGAGCGACGCCGCGUGCGGGAUGAAGGCCUUCGGGUUGUAAACCGCUUUCGGUUGGGAGGAAAUCGCUAGGGGUUCUCCCCUAGUGUUGACCUAUCUUCGGAAGAAGGACGGGCUAAGUUCGUGCCAGCCGCCGCCGUAA